CGGCGCCACUGCCCGCACGGCUGGACGGCACUCCGCGCCGGGCCUGGCCUCAGCUGCCCGCGCCCUGACGCCCACCCGCCUCGGACGCCGGCUCCCGCCCUGCGCCAGCCAGACGCCCUCGAGAGGCGCGCGCCUGCCCGCGGUCCUGUCGUAUUUGGCCCCACGUGUGACUUCAUGAAGAGUCCCUGUGACAGUCUGCUCAAGACCAGCUGCACAAAGCGUGUGUUCUGCGUGUCUGAGGACGAAACCAGCUACUCAGUCUCCAAGACCGUACAGUGGUGCCCUUCAGGUGACCUUCAGACGGACCAAAAUCACAUCUGCUAGCUUUUCUAGCCUUUACUUUUUCAUCAGAGUAUUAAAUUUGAGUUCGUUUCUGCUUGCCAGUUUAGCUGGUGUCAUUUGAUCUGGUUAAGAAUUUAUAGUCAGUAUUACCAAUACAGAGUCCUCUGUUAACUGUCUGAUUUUCAUGGACCUCUACAAGAAGGAAAAUAUACUCUUAGUAUCCCUUAUUACAGAACAAACAAUGACAAACAUGCUGUUAAGAACUUUGUUAUUUUUUUUAAUGAACUUUAUAUUUUUAAAGAAUUGGCAUUUUAAUUAACUGCAUUAAACUUUGAAAGACAGUAUAUUCAUUCAGCUUUUAAAGACUACAAUGUGGUUUUUAUUAUAUAGAUAUUUGCAUUAAUUCAGGGCUAGGGCCCAUUUAAAGCUAUAGCUUGAGAUAUGAAACCUUAAAACCUGUUUAAAGGCUUAGAAUAUGAUAUAAAGUAGGACAACAGCAAUAACCAUUUCUGUUAAUCUAGUAUUUAAGAAAGGCUCUCAAGGAUUUAGCAGCCUGUUCAUUCCCAGGGCAGAUUUUGGAAGUUUUUGUGUUCUUUCUUUGAUAGAGCUGUGUGUAUUGGCUCCACUCAUAUUCAAGUUGGGUAUUCCCCGGUGGCUCAGACAGAAAAGAGUUUGCCUGCAAUGUGGGAGACCCAGGUUCAACCCCUGGGUCAGGAAGAUCCCCUAGAGAAGGAAGUGACAACCCACUCCAGUAUUCUUGCUGGGAAAAUUCCAUGAAUGGAGGAGCCUGGCAGGCUACAGUCUGUGGGGUCACAAAGAUUUGGACAUAACUGAGCGACUUCACUUUCACUUCACUUUCAUAUUCAAGUUGUAGCUUUUUGGUGAACCUUCCCUGACAUAUACCCAAGGAGCUUACUCACCAGGCUCAAUCUGAUGACAUUGAAUCCAGGAUGGAGGGCCAC
RNAcentral lists this long non-coding RNA (1244 nucleotides) under Cervus hanglu yarkandensis (Yarkand deer). RNAcentral describes it as "lncRNA (ENSCHYG00000025027.1)". Lineage: Eukaryota; Metazoa; Chordata; Mammalia; Artiodactyla; Cervidae. The record is from RNAcentral.